GUCUCCGUAGCGCAAUGGGUAGCGCGUUGAACUACUAAUCCGAAGUUCGUGGGUUUGAAUCCCACCCGGGAUG
Trichonephila clavata is the source of this 73-nucleotide non-coding RNA. The record is from the annotation of a GenBank genome assembly. NCBI's taxonomy places the organism in Eukaryota, Metazoa, Arthropoda, Arachnida, Araneae, Nephilidae.